ACCUGUAUUUAAGACAAAAAGAGAUCGUGAAUCAGAUCCGAACGCCUUCGUGAGUGGCAGCUUCUCUUUAUCUCAGUAUUUGCUUCGUCACUAGUCAAACAAGCCAUGUUUUUUCGACACGAUGGAUUACAUGCAUAUGCAUACAUACAACAUCAGUUACCGACAAUCAAAAUUAUGGACCAUGGUGUGCAGUGGAUUUAUUGAAAUCUAUACUAAAAGAUCACUGAUACGUAUAGUAUAGACAAGGUAUAGUAUAGACAAGGGCUUGAAGAGAUGUAGCAGUUAUUACAUUAGCUUUCUAUAUGUUAUGCCCAAUGCAAAAAAAUAAAAAAUCAAAUAAUAAAAAUGAACGUCUUAUCGUUUGUUAUUGCCAUAAAUUCUUCGAAUAAUGAAUAAUUCAGCAGCAAGAAUAGCUAAUCUACCCUUGAGUGGAAUCUGUUAUUGGCUUUAUAUCUUCUUAUAUCUGCCUCAUAUGUACCUCACACUGGUUUGUCCAAUAUAGCAGGGAAUGUUCUUUAUAUCUGUUAAAAAAUGUGACAGAAAAAUAAAAUUGUCAAUUUUCA
This is a long non-coding RNA of Frieseomelitta varia, 563 nucleotides long. RefSeq lists it as uncharacterized. The record is from RefSeq and is a predicted model, not a curated record. Lineage: Eukaryota; Metazoa; Arthropoda; Insecta; Hymenoptera; Apidae. The transcript is spliced from 3 exons.